UUUUGAACGAAUCGGUCACGAACGACCCAUCACUAGUUUAUAAUGACUGCAUCUCAAUGAAUGGGAGAAUUUUUUGAGGUUAUGAUCUGGUAACACUGCUUCAAAUAGUACUAAAUCCAUUUAAGAAAUAAUAAAUAUUAGAUUGAAUUUUGGAAAGUAAGUUUUGGCAUACAAAGUGGUUUAUCGAAAAUCACUAACAAAUGAAAUGAGUAGUCCAAGCUAUCAAACAAUAACUAAGCGUCCGAGGGACUGUUUUUCUUGUAGAGUUGUGAGCGGUUCGGGUUUGAUUGGCGUAAGUGCAUUUUUAAUCUAUCAGAGUUGGAAAAGACGAGGUUAUGAAAAAUUAACAAUUACAACAAUAGCAUUAGUUGUGGGAGGCUUGGGAAUUGCUCGACUGCUGAAUCUGCCACCAUUUGACACUGCAUUUCUGCAUACUCCAAAGAAAUCUGAGUAAUGAAAAGAAACAAAAGGGCUUCUGCGGACAGCCGCCGGCAUACCACCUUGCUGACCGCCCGCAACGUGAUGAGGUGGUCUGGGUGGCGUGUCACACUCAGCAGCUGCGCAAGUGUGUUCACCCCCUUCUUGAAGUCUGCACUGUCAACUGUCAAACAACCACUAUGAGCUUAUGUAUGUUCUAGGACAUGAAAUGUAAAAAUAAUAAAAUUAUUUCAAACCUUACAAUCAAGAUUGUCCAAUGGAUUUGUAGAGACAACUUUUGGUGUAUGAGAUUCUGACUUCGCAAUCUUCUCCGAUGUCUGGUUCUUGUAUUUGUCCACUGAAACAAUAAAUUUUGUUGAAAACAAAAAUAAAA
Molecule: long non-coding RNA, 811 nt
Organism: Bacillus rossius redtenbacheri
Lineage: Eukaryota; Metazoa; Arthropoda; Insecta; Phasmatodea; Bacillidae
Exons: 3
Source: RefSeq, a predicted model, not a curated record